CGACCUCUGGGGAAAAAAAAAAAAAAGGAGUGUGACCUCUGGCCACUGGCCUAGAUUCUAAUCCUGGCCCUCCUGCCUGCAAAUGAUAUUACUUUGAUGAAAUCAUAUCUCUAAACCUCAGUUUUCUCACGUGUGAAAUGGGAAUAAGUGUAGUAUUUAUUCCCAUAGUGGUUAAGGGAAUAAAUAACCAUAAUGUACAUAAACGUUUGUAUCAUCCUAAAUAUAUAGUAAACACUUAAGAAGUUAUUCUUUUCUGAAUAGUUAGUUGCUACCUUGAGAAGUAAAUGAAUUGAACAUCGCCCCCUGUCUGAGAGGAAGAAUGGUUGGGAAGAGCAGUAACAUCAUCUAGCAGAGAAGUACCUGGCUUGCUGCCAGCUCACUGAGGGAGUGCUUGGUAGGUAGUGACUGCAUGACGCAAUGGUUAGAUGGCCCCUUAACAGAUACUAAGGAUCAUUCCAAAACCAGUACUCUUUUAGGAACCAAUAUUCUGCAGAUACGCUGCCUAUUCCCCUUUAAUAUAGAUACUCUUAGUUUUAUUAUUUUUCCCUCCCCUUCAGUUACAGGGCUGGUAUGAAGAAAAAUGAGCACAUUAAAUGAGAAUGUAUAAUGUUUUAUAAAUUUAGAUUUCACGCUUGAUUUUCAUUGCUAAUCCAUAAGAGUCCUAGCAAAUCUUUGAUAGAAGAUUUUAUUGCUUCUUUGCCUGAAGAUUACUUUAAGCCUACCCUUUAUUUUCCCUUACCAAAGUAUAAAACUGUACAGCCAGGAAAAUUAUCCUUUGAAUUACUUGCAUGGUGUUAGUACCUUUAGUCACCUGAGCUAAUUUCUUACGUUCUUUCAUAGAAUUUCUUUACAUCUUAUCAUUUGUUACCAUACAAAAUAUCAUGUGAUUUGUUGUAUAACUUUUAUUAAUUAAUCACAUACAGGAUAAAAGGCAAUGAAAUGCAAAGUAACCGUAGGCCUACUUUCUGAGUUUUCUCCCAUAAAAUAGAUGAGACAGAGAUGACUUACUAUGUUGAAUGAUAUACAAAUCCAAAUUUGUAUGAUGGAUUUAUAUUUCAACUAAAUUAUGCCAAGACAAUGUAUAAAAGACUUCUAUUAUGUGUAUGGUUCAUUUUUAAAAAAACUUUAUUGGCGUACAGUUGACUGAUAAUGUUAUCUUAGUUUUAGGUGUAGGGCAAAAGUGAAUCAGUUAUACACAUACAUAAAUCCAUUUUUAUUUCCCAUAUAGGAUAUUACAGACUAUUGGGUAGCCUUCCCUGUGCUAUACGGUAGUCCUUUUUAUUUUUUUAUAAUGAUUUUUUUUCUAUUAUAGCUGUUUUACAGUGUUCUGUCAAAUUUCUACUGUAUAGCAAGGUGACCUGGUCACUCAUACAUGUAUACAUUCUUUUUUCUCAUAUUUACAUGCUCCAUCAUAAGUGAUUAGAUAUAGUUCCCACUGCCAUACAGCAAGAUGUCAUUGCUUAUUCAUUCCAAAGGCAAUAGCAUCCAUUAACCCCAAAUUCCCAGGCAUCCCACUCCCUCCCCAUAGCAUCCAUUAACCACAAAUUCAUCCAUUAACUCCAAAUUCCCAGGCCAUCCCCCUCCCCCUCGGCAACCACAAGUCUGUUCUCUAUGUCCAUGAGUUUCUUUUCUAUGGAAAGUUUCAUUUGUGCCAUAUAUUAGAUUCCAGAUAUGUUAUAUCAUAUGGUAUUUGUCUUUCUCUUUCUGACCUACUUCACUUAGUAUGAGUCUCUAGUUCCAUCUUUUUACCUUUUUUAUAUCCCAUGUUCCUAAUUUAUUCCUCCCCUCUACAGUUGGCCCUAUAGUAAUCAUAAGUUUGACUUUGAAAUCUGAGUUUGUUUCUGCUUUAUGAAUAAAUUAUUUUAUAUUGUUUUAUUAGAUUCCACUUAGAAGUAAUAUCAUGUGAUAUUUGUCUUUCUCUGUCUUACUUCAUAUAGUUUUCUAAUUUCUAGAUCGAUUGAUAUUGCUAUAAAUGGCAUUAUUUCAUUCAUUUUCAUGGCUGAGUAGUAUUCCCUUGCAUACAUGUACCAUAUCUUCUGUAUCCAAUCCUCUCUUGAUAGACAUUUCAGUUGCUUGCCUAUUGUAAAUAGUGCUACAAUGAACAUUGGGGUUCAUGUAUUCCAAUUAUGGUUUUCUCUGGAUAGAUGCCCAGGAAUGGGAUUUCUGGAUCUUCUGGUAGUUCUAUAUUUAGUUUUUUGAGGAACCUCCAUACUGUUCUCCAUAGUGGGUUCACCAAUUUACAUUUCCACCAACAGUGUAGGAGGGUUCCCUUUGCUCCACAUCUUCUCUAGCAUUUAUUGUUUGUAGACCUUUCGAUGAUGGCCAUUCUGACCAGUGUGAGGUUAAUACUUCAUCAUUGUUUUGAUUUUCAUUUCUCCAAUAAUUAGUAAUGUUGAGUAUCUUUUCAUGUGCUUUUUGGCCUUCUGUCUGUCUUCUUUGGAGAAAUGCCUAUGUAGAUCUUUUGCCCACUUUUUGAUUGGUUCAUCUGCUUUUUGAUGUAAAGCUACAUGAAAUGUUUGCAUAUUUUUGAGAUGAAUCCCUUGUCAGUUGCUUCAUUUGCAAAGACUCUCCCAUUGUGUGGGUUUUCUUUUCAUUUUGUUAAUGGUUUCUGUUGCUGGGCAAAAUUUUUUAAGUUUAAUUAGGUCCCAUUUAUUUAUUUUUGUUUUUAUUUUUAUUGUUCUAUGAAGUAGAUCCAAGAAGAUAUUGAUGCCAUUUAUGUCAAAGAGUAUUCUGCCUAUGUUUUCCUCUAAGACUUGUAUAGUAUCCAGCCUUAUGUAUAGUUUAUAAUGUUAGAGAAUGUUAUGGUUUAAUUCUUUUACAUGUAACUGUCUAGUUUUCCCAGCACCACUUAUUGAAGAGACUGUCUUACUGCCAUUGUAUAUUCUUCCUUCCUUUGGCAUACAUUAGUUGACCAUAGGUAAAUGGGUUUAUCUCUGGGCUCUUUUUUUUUUUUUUUUUUUUUUUUUUGACUUUUUGGGCCACACCUGCGACAUAUGGAGGUUCCCAGUCUAGGGAUCUAAUUAGAACUACAUUGGCCAGCCUACCCCACAAACACAGCAAUAUUAGAUCCAAGCUGCGACUGUGACCUAUACCACAGCUCACAGCAAUGCUGGAUCCUUAACCCACUGAGCAAGGCCAGGGAUCGAACCUGCAGCCUCAUGGUUCCAAGUCAGAUUCAUUUCCACUGCACCACAGUGGGAACUUCUAUCUCUGGCCUUUCUAUCCUGUUCCACUGAUCUGUAUUUCUGUUUUUGUACCAGUACCAUAUUGUUUUGGUUACUGUAGCUUUGCAAUAUAGUCUAAAUUAUAAGGAGCUUAAUUCCUCCAUCUCUAUUUUACUUUUUUAAGAUUGCUUUGGCAGUUGGGGGUCUUUUGUGAUUCCAUACACAUUUGAAAUUUUUUCUAGUUCUGUGAAGGAUGCCAUUGGUAAUUUGAUAGGGAUUAUACUGAAUCUGUAGAUUGCCUUGAGUAGUAUAGUCCUUUUGACAGUAUUGAUUCUUCUACUCAAGAGCAUGGUAUAUCAUGCCAUCUUAUUGUUUCAUCUUUGGUUUCUUUCAUCAGCAUCUUAUAGUUUUCAGAGUACAGGUCUUUUGUCUCUUUAAGUAGGUUAAUUCUUAAGUACUUUAUUCUCUUUAAUAUAAUGGUAAAUGGGAUUGUUUCUUUAAUUUCUUGCUUAUCUUUCGUUGUUAGUGUGUAGCAAUGCAAGAGAUAUCUGUGUAUUCAUUUUUUAUCCUGCAACUUUAUAAAUCAUUGAUGAGCUCUAACAUUUUUCUUAAGUUUUAUUGUAGUUGAUUUACAUGGUUGUGAUAAUUUCUUCUGUAUAGCAAAGUAAUUCAGUUAUACAUGUACACACCUCCAUUCUCCUUCAGAUUCUUUUCCCACAUAGAUGAUCACAGAGUUUUGGGUAGAGUUCUCUGUGCUCCAUAAGUCCCCAUUGGCCAACCACUCCAUAUACCUCAGUGUUGAUAUGCCAUUCCCAACCCCCAGUCCAUCCCUCCCCUACACUUGUACACCAACAGUUUUCUGAUGGCAUCUUAAGGAUUUUCUAUGAAUAGUAUCGUGUCAUCUGCAAACAGAGACAGUUUGGUUCAGUCAUAAAGUUAUAGUUUCUACCUGAUCUAUUUGGAAAAUCUCAGGAGAGAAUUAGGGAGUGGAGAAGAUAUGUGAAUAGAUAGCUCUUCUAUUGCUCUAGAAUGCUGUGCCAUAGGACUGUGCUCUGAGAAUUUUGCACACAUAAUCAUGCAUAAAUCUCACCACAUUGUUAUGAAGUGGAUGUUCUUAUUUCUCCAAGUGCAGAAUUAACUUUCCCCAAGGUCACACAGAAGUCUUAAGCUAAGAAAGAACUGCAAAGCCCCUGUUGUUCCCAGUCUACUGUGUUUCUAGGAUAAAGUAAAAUUCAAUCUUUUAUGGGCAUUUUCUUCUUACCAGUGUAUAGCUCAGCUACUUGUCACUGAAUUGCCACAUCUGGAGCUAUUUCAUCUUUUUGCUUACAUUUUACUUUUAUACACUGUUGUAAAAAAGCUGCAUUUCAGGAAGAAACACAGGCUUCUAUUCUGACAUAAAAAUAGGCUAAUAGCAAUGACAGGGAUGACUGUGACAGGGGAAGAAAAGCAAGUGAUAUUGCCAGAUCUUUAUUAGGAGUUCUAGUGUUAAUCAGCAAAGAACAUGAGCAUGUCAUGGUGUGAAAUAACAUAUGAGAGAAGAUGCAAUGUGAUGCUAUGACUGAUUCCAUUUACCAUAUGUUGUGUCGAUAUGCCCAGUUUCCUUGGGGAAUACACUGAAGAUGAAGAGAGAAAGGAAUCCUUCAAAAGUGUAUUGAAUAGUUAUCUAAGUCUGAAUGUAUUCUGAUUAUACCAGCAUGCACAAUGACUCCAUGAGGAUAAUGAAAUAUAGGCCCUUUGAAGGCAUGUUGCACUGUUCUCCAGCUAUUGACAUCCCUCAAAUAUGAGUUAUUUCAACAGGAUGGAAUCUCCAAGGAUUAUUCCAUAGAUCCUGGGGACAAUGUGGAAGGGACCAAGGCCAACUGCUGCUUAUUUGUGAAUUUCUGUUUUUGUAAUUAUAAUAAAAUUAAGCCUCACAUUUUCACUGAUAAUCAGAGGGACAAGUAAUGAAAAGAAAAAUCUCUCCAUAUAGAAGGAGUCAGCAACAUUAUUGAGAAUAUAUUUAAAAUCAUAAUUAUGGAACAUUCAUCUAUUCAAAAGUUAGAUUAAAAGAAUACUGAUUUAAUCUUGAUGCUUAAAAUUCAGUAUAAAGGAAUAGAAGAGGCUAAACGUCUUCUAAGAACUGAAUGAAACAAAAUUUUCAUAAUGUGAAGAAGCUCUAUUUAUCUAUCUGUAGUGCAUAGUAGUGGGCAUGUACAUUUUUUUUGAAACAAGUAUUGUCAAGCAUCAAGAUGAAGUAUUGAAAAUGUAAUAUGGGAGUUCCCAUUGUGGCUCAGUGGGUUAAGAACAUGAAAUAGUCUCCACGAGGAAGUGGGUUCAAUCUCUGGCCUUGCUUAGUGGGUUAAGGAUCCAGCAUUGCUGUGAGCCGCAGUGUGGGUCACAGAUGAGGCUCCAAUUCAGUCUGCAGCCUGAGAACUUCCAUGUGCUGCAGGUGUGACUG
Molecule: long non-coding RNA, 5601 nt
Filed under: Sus scrofa (pig)
Lineage: Eukaryota; Metazoa; Chordata; Mammalia; Artiodactyla; Suidae
Description: lncRNA (ENSSSCG00000062101.1)
Source: RNAcentral